RNAcentral lists this ribosomal RNA (232 nucleotides) under uncultured bacterium. RNAcentral describes it as "partial 16S ribosomal RNA". It matches the Rfam family "Bacterial small subunit ribosomal RNA", at positions 103 to 334 of the family's 1533-position model. The record is from RNAcentral.
CGGGUGAGUAACGCGUAUGCAACUUGCCUAUCAGAGGGGGAUAACCCGGCGAAAGUCGGACUAAUACCGCAUGAAGCAGGGAUCCCGCAUGGGAAUAUUUGCUAAAGAUUCAUCGCUGAUAGAUAGGCAUGCGUUCCAUUAGAUAGUAGGCGGGGUAACGGCCCACCUAGUCUUCGAUGGAUAGGGGUUCUGAGAGGAAGGUCCCCCACAUUGGAACUGAGACACGGUCCAA